GACGAACGCUGGCGGCGUGCUUAACACAUGCAAGUCGAACGGAAAGGCCCUGCUUUUGUGGGGUGCUCGAGUGGCGAACGGGUGAGUAACACGUGAGUAACCUGCCCUUGACUUUGGGAUAACUUCAGGAAACUGGGGCUAAUACCGGAUAGGAGUUCCUGCUGCAUGGGGGGGGUUGGAAAGUUUCGGCGGUUGGGGAUGGACUCGCGGCUUAUCAGCUUGUUGGUGGGGUAGUGGCUUACCAAGGCUUUGACGGGUAGCCGGCCUGAGAGGGUGACCGGCCACAUUGGGACUGAGAUACGGCCCAGACUCCUACGGGAGGCAGCAGUGGGGAAUAUUGCACAAUGGGCGGAAGCCUGAUGCAGCAACGCCGCGUGCGGGAUGACGGCCUUCGGGUUGUAAACCGCUUUCGCCUGUGACGAAGCGUGAGUGACGGUAAUGGGUAAAGAAGCACCGGCUAACUACGUG
RNAcentral lists this ribosomal RNA (468 nucleotides) under uncultured bacterium. RNAcentral describes it as "partial 16S ribosomal RNA". It matches the Rfam family "Bacterial small subunit ribosomal RNA", at positions 28 to 507 of the family's 1533-position model. The record is from RNAcentral.